This is a non-coding RNA of Solanum tuberosum (potato), 124 nucleotides long. Lineage: Eukaryota; Viridiplantae; Streptophyta; Magnoliopsida; Solanales; Solanaceae. The record is from Rfam.
GAGCAAGGGUGUCUUUCAAAAUGACAUACAUUUGCAUUGAAGGUUGGCCAUAUGUAUAGCGAUUCUCCGUGCCUUUCAAGCUUUCUUCUCGUAUUGAUUACGGCCUCGAACAAAUUGCUACAUC